GAUGAAGAACGUAGCGAAAUGCGAUAAGUAAUGUGAAUUGCAGAAUUCAGUGAAUCAUCGAAUCUUUGAACGCACAUUGCGCCCGCCAGUAUUCUGGCGGGCAUGCCUGUUCGAGCGUCAUUACAACCCUCAGGCCCCCGGGCCUGGCGUUGGGGAUCGGCAGAAGCCCCCUGUGGGCACACGCCGUCCCUCAAAUACAGUGGCGGUCCCGCCGCAGCUUCCAUUGCGUAGUAGCUAACACCUCGCAACUGGAGAGCGGCGCGGCCAUGCCGUAAAACACCCAACUUCUGAAUGUUGACCUCGAAUCAGGUAGGAAUACCCGCUGAACUUAAGCAUAUCAAAGCGGAGGA
Molecule: unclassified non-coding RNA, 350 nt
Filed under: soil metagenome
Description: partial contains 5.8S ribosomal RNA, internal transcribed spacer 2, and large subunit ribosomal RNA
Rfam family: 5.8S ribosomal RNA (bases 1-120)
Source: RNAcentral